CCAGGUGCGAUGAGUUGGAGGAUUGGGUCUCAGCAUUGGACGAGCGGUUUGUGGAGUGCCAGAUCUAACUCUUCCAGCUCAUCCCACUCUGG
This 92-nucleotide microRNA precursor is filed under the name Capitella teleta. RNAcentral describes it as "mir-750 microRNA precursor family". It matches the Rfam family "mir-750 microRNA precursor family". The record is from Rfam by way of RNAcentral. Lineage: Eukaryota; Metazoa; Annelida; Polychaeta; Capitellidae.